GUCUGUCUGUAAAGUCCUGGGCCUGCAUAAGCCUGCCGUUCUUCUUGGCUGCCUCUGGCUUUCCACCCCCAGGCCAGAAGCAGAGUGAGAGAAACCAUUGUUCUUGUGGCGGUUGUCUUUUAAAAAUUGGCCAUUUGAGGCCCUUUCAACUGACUUCCCAUUGUACAUAGAGGAAACCCAAGGACCAGAAAAGUAGGGUACCGUCCCCCCGUGUUAAGUGGCAAGCUGUGCCUCCGAGCGCAGACUAAGAGCCCUUUCCCAGACACUGGGCGCUGUGCCCAGGGGCUCGUCUCCGGCCACGCUGUGGCUGUGAGCUACCAGCACUCAGCUCUGCUCUUAGCACAGCUCUGGGCUCAGCUAAUGCUUGUCCUGCAAGGACCACAGAGGCACAUCUUCUGCCCUCAUGGUGUACAGAGGAGGAAACUGAGGCCCGGAGAGGAGGACUGGCUGGCUGCUCUGGGUCACACAGAUGACUUUGGAACGAGUCACAGCCCUUCCCUGGUCCUCACCUGCACAGGGUGUCAAUGGUGAUCUCUGGCCUCACGCAUCCCCUGAGGGCUGACAUCCCCUGAGGGUGACUUUUCUUUGAAAGUUAUAAAGUGAAGGACUUUACCACAAGUGUAAGGAAAUAAAGAGAAGCAGAAACAGAGAGAGAGCGAGCAAGGAAGAAAGAAAAGAAGGAAGAAAGGAAGAAAGAAAGAAGGAAAGAAAAAAAGAAAGAAAAAGAUAAAAAGACAAAGAAAGAAUCAUAGUGGUAACUCCCGGGAAAACCGCUGUUACCAUUUUGGUGGCGCUCCUUCCAGACUUUUCUCUGUGCAUGACUAUCAAAAUACCUAGAUGUACCUGUGUGUUAAAGACUAUAGCAUAAUAUUUUCUAUGUUGUUUUAUAAAGUUUUCUCUCUUUUCCACUUACCAAUAUUUUGAUAACAUUUCAUCUUGUCAACGAAUGUUCAUCUCCAGCGCCUUUUUUCCCUUGCGGCUGUGGACACCUCGUGGACGGGUCUACUGUGUUUGGGUGGGGACAUGGAGGCCCAAGGCCCCACAGCAGGUGAUGGAAGUGCCAAGCCCAGUGACCAGCCUGGGGUCCAUUCUGUGCCAGCUCACCUGCAGGGAGCAUUGCUGCUGAGGUCACAGUUCCUGGAGCCAGACUGCUCCUGGCACCGCCAUGCACACUCACGGUCAGAUGUGUGACAAUGGGAGUCGGACUUCAGAGCGGUUAUAGCUUCUUCCAGUGCCAAAGCGGAGGCUUCCUGGACGCAGCCCGGGACGGAGCGGCCUGGCAGAUGGGGACGUGGCGGGCGUUAUGGGCUGAAUUGUGUCCCCCUCCCCAGAAAUUCACAUGUUGAGGUCCUAACCCCAGUGUCAGAAUGUGGCUGUAUCUGGAGACAGGGUCUUUAACGAGGUAAUUGAGUUAAAAUGAGUUCAUUUAACCCAAUGUGACUGGUGUCCUUACGAGAAGAGGGGAUCAGGACACAGACACACACAGAAGGAAAAGCACGUGAAGAUAUGGGGACAAGGUGGCCACCGACAGGCCAAGGAGAGAGGCCGCAGGAGAAACCGGCCCUGCGGACACCUUGAUCUUGGACUUUGAGCCUCUAGAAUUGUGAGAAAAUAAAUUUUGUUGUUUG
This 1628-nucleotide long non-coding RNA is filed under the name Equus caballus (horse). RNAcentral describes it as "lncRNA (ENSECAG00000042321.2)". Lineage: Eukaryota; Metazoa; Chordata; Mammalia; Perissodactyla; Equidae. The record is from RNAcentral.